Molecule: small nuclear RNA, 23 nt
Filed under: Arabidopsis thaliana (thale cress)
Lineage: Eukaryota; Viridiplantae; Streptophyta; Magnoliopsida; Brassicales; Brassicaceae
Description: snRNA_10118
Source: RNAcentral
AAGUUUCUAAAUAGUAUCUUUAC